Cyprinus carpio (common carp) is the source of this 1364-nucleotide long non-coding RNA. NCBI's taxonomy places the organism in Eukaryota, Metazoa, Chordata, Actinopteri, Cypriniformes, Cyprinidae. The record is from Ensembl.
UAUGAUUUUAUAACUGAGUUGUUUUGUUCAGAUUUGCAGCAAACAUCAUCUGCGGCCUCCUGUCCAGUAAAAUAUUUUGUGAGCGUGACUGGAGACGCACAGGAGCAUCAUGUGCACUUUAUAAAAGCUCUACAGAAAAAUAUUAAUCUGAAGGAGGUUCCUACAGUGGAAGGCAGUGAUGUCAUUCUGCUUUUCUGUCCUGACAUCAGCGGGUGUCAUAAGAGAACAGACAGGCCUGUUGUUCUCAUUUCUCUCCAUCAAACACUGGACCCAGAAAAUCCAAAGAGACGGGUUGUUUUCCCAGUGAACUAUAUUUUACGUGAUGGUGAAGGUCUUAUUGAAUGCCAAAUAAACAAUGCUGAAAUUUCUGCAGUCUCACGCUGGAUAAAGGACAAGGAACAACAAGCUUCAAGAAAGAAUACAGAGAAUCCAUCUUCUCCAGUUCCUCCGGCAUUCACUUCCUCUCAUCGUGUUAGUUAUUUCACCAAUUUGACUGGAGAUGUAAAGAAGCAUCUUAUUCACUUUAUAUAUGAUAAAUUGGAUCAGAUUUGUCUGAAUGAGGUUUCCUCAGUGGAAGACAGUGAUGUCAUUCUGCUCUUCUGUCCUGACAUCAGUGACUGUAACAAGAGAACAGACAAGCCUGUUGUGCUCAUUUCUCUCCACAAUACACCACCUUCAUAUUCUGUCCCAAGCAGCAAUGAAUUUGUCAACAGACGAGAUAUUGUGCCAUUAGACUGUAUUUAUGUUGAGGGUCAAGGACUGCCUGACUGUAAAAUUAACCAAGAUGAAUUUUCUGUAUUCUCACAGGUUCUGAGCACUAAGAUCAUCAAAGGACAAGUAAUGGAAUGAAACAGGAUCAAUACACCUGUCGCUCUGUCCACCAUUCAGAAAGAUCCUGUGAAACUGACAGCUACAUACAUCAUCCCCCUCUCUACUGAUGAAAUGCCUUUUAGCUUGUGUGUAUCAGUUGUUAAAUAUACUGUAUAGAUGUUUUUCAGCAGUCCUUCAGCAUUUGGAAUCCUCUAGACGUCUGAGAAAAGCAUAAUUCACAACUCCUACUGGUUACUAUGCAAAUUUCUUUAAAUGAAUGACCUAAAAUAUGUUUACAAAAGCAGUAAAACUCUCCAUCCUAUUGCAAGGCAAAGCUCAUGUAUAACCAUGAAACUAAAUGUUCAGUACCACUGUUUAAUGCAAUGUCUAAUGUUAAUGGUGAGGCAAAUAUAAUUAAUUUGGUCUCUCUGUGUAUUUCAUUGAGAUUUUCACUGAAGUGUUUCAGUGUUAAUUAAUUUUACUGUAAUCUGCAUGAUGUAUUGAUAGAUUAUGUCUGCUACUGUGCCUUUACUCUAAAUCUUAGCCUGUAAUAA